Molecule: ribosomal RNA, 351 nt
Filed under: uncultured Burkholderia sp.
Lineage: Bacteria; Pseudomonadati; Pseudomonadota; Betaproteobacteria; Burkholderiales; Burkholderiaceae
Description: bacterial SSU rRNA
Rfam family: Bacterial small subunit ribosomal RNA
Source: RNAcentral
CGGCGAAAGCCGGAUUAAUACCGCAUACGAUCUGUGGAUGAAAGCGGGGGAUCUUAGGACCUCGCGCUAACAGGGGCGGCCGAUGGCAGAUUAGCUAGUUGGUGGGGUAAAGGCCUACCAAGGCGACGAUCUGUAGCUGGUCUGAGAGGACGACCAGCCACACUGGGACUGAGACACGGCCCAGACUCCUACGGGAGGCAGCAGUGGGGAAUUUUGGACAAUGGGCGCAAGCCUGAUCCAGCAAUGCCGCGUGUGUGAAGAAGGCCUUCGGGUUGUAAAGCACUUUUGUCCGGAAAGAAAACCUCGUGGCUAAUACCUAUGGGGGAUGACGGUACCGGAAGAAUAAGCACC